AACGAACGCUGGCGGCAGGCUUAACACAUGCAAGUCGAACGGGCACCUUCGGGUGUCAGUGGCAGACGGGUGAGUAACGCGUGGGAACCUACCCAGUGGUACGGAAUAACUCGGGGAAACCCGAGCUAAUACCGUAUACGCCCUCAGGGGGAAAGAUUUAUCGCCAUUGGAUGGGCCCGCGUCGGAUUAGCUAGUUGGUGAGGUAACGGCUCACCAAGGCGACGAUCCGUAGCUGGUCUGAGAGGAUGAUCAGCCACACUGGGACUGAGACACGGCCCAGACUCCUACGGGAGGCAGCAGUGGGGAAUAUUGAACAAUGGGCGAAAGCCUGAUCCAGCCAUGCCGCGUGAGUGAAGAAGGCCUUAGGGUUGUAAAGCUCUUUCGGCGGGGAAGAUAAUGACGGUACCCGCAGAAGAAGCCCCGGCUAACUCCGUGCCAGCAGCCGCGGUAAUACGGAGGGGGCUAGCGUUGUUCGGAAUUACUGGGCGUAAAGCGCACGUAGGCGGACUGCU
Molecule: ribosomal RNA, 512 nt
Filed under: uncultured bacterium
Lineage: Bacteria
Description: bacterial SSU rRNA
Rfam family: Bacterial small subunit ribosomal RNA
Source: RNAcentral